AGCGAACGCUGGCGGCGUGCUUAACACAUGCAAGUCGAGUGCGCGGUUCGUAGCAAUACGAACUGGCGCACGGCGCACGGGUGAGGAACACGUGGGCAACAUGCCCUCCGAUGGGGAAUAACCCGCCGAAAGGCGGGCUAAUACCGCAUACGAUUCCGGGGACCUCGGUUCCUGGACUGAAAGCCCGCAAGGGCGUCGGUGGAGUGGCCCGCGGCCGAUUAGCUUGUUGGCGGGGUAACGGCCACCAAGGCAAUGAUCGGUAGCCGGUCUGAGAGGAUGAUCGGCC
Molecule: ribosomal RNA, 286 nt
Filed under: uncultured bacterium
Lineage: Bacteria
Description: partial 16S ribosomal RNA
Rfam family: Bacterial small subunit ribosomal RNA
Source: RNAcentral